Molecule: ribosomal RNA, 574 nt
Filed under: Burkholderia sp. LC4
Lineage: Bacteria; Pseudomonadati; Pseudomonadota; Betaproteobacteria; Burkholderiales; Burkholderiaceae
Description: bacterial SSU rRNA
Rfam family: Bacterial small subunit ribosomal RNA
Source: RNAcentral
GGGGCACCCUGGUGGCGAGUGGCGAACGGGUGAGUAAUACAUCGGAACGUGUCCUGUAGUGGGGGAUAGCCCGGCGAAAGCCGGAUUAAUACCGCAUACGCUCUACGGAGGAAAGGGGGGGAUCUUAGGACCUCCCGCUACAGGGGCGGCCGAUGGCAGAUUAGCUAGUUGGUGGGGUAAAGGCCUACCAAGGCGACGAUCUGUAGCUGGUCUGAGAGGACGACCAGCCACACUGGGACUGAGACACGGCCCAGACUCCUACGGGAGGCAGCAGUGGGGAAUUUUGGACAAUGGGGGCAACCCUGAUCCAGCAAUGCCGCGUGUGUGAAGAAGGCCUUCGGGUUGUAAAGCACUUUUGUCCGGAAAGAAAACGCCGUGGUUAAUACCCGUGGCGGAUGACGGUACCGGAAGAAUAAGCACCGGCUAACUACGUGCCAGCAGCCGCGGUAAUACGUAGGGUGCAAGCGUUAAUCGGAAUUACUGGGCGUAAAGCGUGCGCAGGCGGUCCGCUAAGACAGAUGUGAAAUCCCCGGGCUUAACCUGGGAACUGCAUUUGUGACUGGCGGGCUAGAGU